GCCCGCCUAGCUCAAUCGGAUAGAGCGUCAGACUCUUACUUUAGCUGGACACGGGCAUCUGAAGGCUGCGAGUUCGACCCUCGCGGUGGGCU
This is a non-coding RNA of Trametes maxima, 92 nucleotides long. The record is from the annotation of a GenBank genome assembly. NCBI's taxonomy places the organism in Eukaryota, Fungi, Basidiomycota, Agaricomycetes, Polyporales, Polyporaceae.